This 450-nucleotide ribosomal RNA is filed under the name uncultured bacterium. RNAcentral describes it as "bacterial SSU rRNA". It matches the Rfam family "Bacterial small subunit ribosomal RNA", at positions 354 to 796 of the family's 1533-position model. The record is from RNAcentral.
GUGGGGAAUAUUGGACAAUGGGCGAAAGCCUGAUCCAGCCAUGCCGCGUGUGUGAAGAAGGUCUUCGGAUUGUAAAGCACUUUAAGUUGGGAGGAAGGGUUGUACGUUAAUACCGUGCAAUUUUGACGUUACCGACAGAAUAAGCACCGGCUAACUUCGUGCCAGCAGCCGCGGUAAUACGAAGGGUGCAAGCGUUAAUCGGAAUUACUGGGCGUAAAGCGCGCGUAGGUGGUUCAGUAAGUUGGAAGUGAAAUCCCCGGGCUCAACCUGGGAACUGCUUUCAAAACUGCUGAGCUAGAGUACGGUAGAGGGUAGUGGAAUUUCCUGUGUAGCGGUGAAAUGCGUAGAUAUAGGAAGGAACACCAGUGGCGAAGGCGACUACCUGGACUGAUACUGACACUGAGGUGCGAAAGCGUGGGGAGCAAACAGGAUUAGAAACCCCAGUAGUCC